GUCAAAACCGAACUCAUUAUGGUGAAGCUAGAAGCUUCGAGCAAAGCAUCAGCAGUCAUUAUAGGGAUAUCAAACAAAGUGACCUAAUGUUCAGUAUAUAAUCAUUUUCAACAUAAGGAGAGAAUUAUAAAUAAAAUGGUUGCACAUUAGCAUUGUUAAACACUGUUUCCUAGACAUCUAAGAUACAUCCAGUAAAUAAAAGCUGUUGCUAAAGUGGCCAUUUCCUAUUUGCUCAGAUAUUGGAACUGGGUUCACACUUGUUAGCCAGCCCCGCCACACAUUUGAAAGAAACACAACACCUGCCCUAGACAAGAAGACAAUGACACAUGGGAUGACAUUUCAAAAGCAACAAAUCCCUUUUAAAAUGCACAUGAACAAGAAACAAGAAAGAGGAUAUUAUGUGUACCCCAAAAGCAAAGAUUAACUUGCGCAUGAUAAAAUUUAAAUUUGCUACCAAUAACUUGAGACUAAAACAUACCAACAUAUUAUUUCUAACAAAUUUAAAAGCUCCAAGUCACAUUAAUUCAAGAUCUUUUUUAGCACUUUUAGUGAAGCUAGCUAUUGAACCAUU
RNAcentral lists this unclassified non-coding RNA (571 nucleotides) under Hevea brasiliensis (rubber tree). The record is from RNAcentral. Lineage: Eukaryota; Viridiplantae; Streptophyta; Magnoliopsida; Malpighiales; Euphorbiaceae.